CUUACAGAGGGGCUACGACCUGUCCUCAUGGCAGGUGAAGGGGGAGGGGGAUCUGAAUGAAUAAGACGUGGUUUCUGUUCUUCAAAAACUUCAGUUUUCAAAAUCCCCACGAUCAAGGAAGAAGGAACUGAAGUUCAGAGGUAUUUUCUGACUUGCCCUAAGUCACACACUGCUGGGACUAAAGCCAGGUCUGAUUCUUUUCUGAAUAAAUGGACACCCAUUACCAUACACAGGAAACCAUCUCAAUGUUGGAAGAGCCAUCGGGCACAGCAAAAGAAACUGUGGACAGCAAAGCAGGCUCAGAACUUCUCUCUUACCCAGUUUUAUGAAUGAAUAAGUCAAACCAAGUGACAUUUCCUAAGGUUCUAUUUGGUGCUCCAAAUGAAAACUUCUUGGUUUCAGGGUUACAUAGAAAAGUAAAGCCAAUUAGUAUCCCUGGGCUACUGGGCUCACACGUGAACUCCUUCUGCAACAAGCCUUACUGUUUAAAGAGAAGAGCUCUGCCAACUACAGAGAUCUUACUUAAGCCAUCUUCAUCAAUUACCAACUAUUAAAGCUGCAAAUUCAUCUUUCAGAUCAGAAACAAGAAGCUGAGAGUAAAAAAACUUGCCAAUCAGAGAAGGCCCCAAAUUACCAGUCACUCCUUGUCUCAGCUCUCCUGGCUUGUUUUGAAAUUUAGAUCUGCAGUAACUGGUUCAUAAAGAAGAGCAAAAGGUACUCCUUUAGAAUCUCCGUUUAUUGUAUUUUAUUAUUUUUUUUUUGUCUUUACCUUUUUGCUGGAGACUCCCUAAAAGAGACCCAAGGCUUUUCCCCUCCUAACAGUACAACACAACUGUCCAUGUAGACUUUAGAUACCAUGUUAUCAUCAAAACCACCAGUGAACGGUUCCUAGGCUCGUCUCUCCCAUCACCCAUCUCCAGAGAGACUUUUGAAACAAAAACCUUAGCAAUCACCUUGGCCCCAAACUUCACCCCAUCUUGGAAGGGAGGGGAGAGUGUUCCGACUUACUGACGACGAAGUGUGGCUGGGGUUUGAGCACCCUUCUGGUUAGGCUGGUGAUGAGGGUGUGGGAAGAGGGCUGUGCCGUGACAUACACCCCCAUCCCACAGGGACCCAGAAACAGGAAGGCAAUUCAGGUACGUAUAGUGAUGUGAGAUCGAUGAACC
This 1166-nucleotide long non-coding RNA is filed under the name Capra hircus (goat). Its description in RNAcentral is "lncRNA (ENSCHIG00000005136.1)". Lineage: Eukaryota; Metazoa; Chordata; Mammalia; Artiodactyla; Bovidae. The record is from RNAcentral.